Melospiza georgiana is the source of this 1112-nucleotide long non-coding RNA. RefSeq lists it as uncharacterized. NCBI's taxonomy places the organism in Eukaryota, Metazoa, Chordata, Aves, Passeriformes, Passerellidae. The record is from RefSeq and is a predicted model, not a curated record. The transcript is spliced from 3 exons.
CGUUGCCAGGCCUGGGCAUUCCCACAAAGCCAGCAGCAAGAACACUUCUGAGGGAGAACAGGGUUGUUAACAGGUUCCUGAGCUGAUUUCAGCAGCCUCGUGCCUGGAUACCUGGGGCUGAGUUCUGAUUGUCCUUGUGUCCAUUCUGUGCAUGUGAGAAGCGAUUUCCACUGAUGACUGAACAGUCUGGACUGCAAAUGUCUGCCUGAAAACUGAUUGGAAAAAUUACAUUUUCUGCUUGGGAUGUACCUCUGAAUGAACAGACACUUGAGCAAUAUCUUAAGCAAACUUGCUUCUUUAAAAAUAUCAGUGUAGUGAGAGCACUCGUGCUGCAUUUGGUGCUGCUCAGUUCUUGGUGUUGAUACUGCAGCAAGGUAUAAGCACAGGUGAGGACAUAAUUCAGCACUUCUCCUUUGGGCUCCUCAUAUUUUCUUUCCAGGGAAAAGGAGAACUAAUUCUAAUCUGAAAUGGCUUUGUGUUUUGAGCUUAAGUUUCUGGUAGGCUUGGGAGAAGUUUGUUAAUAAUUGUUUUUCCCUGUCUGUUCACCUCACCAGAAAGUUUCUCCUGCAUGAUGCAAAAUACAACUUCACCUUAUGGGUGGAUGGAGUCCUCAGCUAAGACAGAUUUGUGUUUUGGAAAUGAAGAAAUUUGACUAUUAAAGAACUGAGCAAAGCCACUCUCCAAGUCAGUGAGUGACAGCCUGUGCCCUAAAGAGAGGUGAGCAGCAAAAAUGGAGCAAAAAUGGACCCAGGAGCCCUCCCAGAGAUCCUGACAGCCCUGCCUGCAUUUCAGUGAGUGCCCUGCUGGUUCAAAUGCUGCAGUGAAUCCUGAGAGGAGGCAGAGUGAGAGCUGAGGAUCAGAAAUGGAUGGUCCAGGAAGAUUUUGGUUGUGAACAGAAAGAGUGAGGAAGGAAGAUCCCUUUUGUUCCUUGCUGACAAAUCUGACUGAGUUGGGAGGUACUGUCAGAGAGUGAAGCACUAAGGCCCAAAACCUCAAAGGUGCAAGGAUUUUUAACCUCUGCUGAUUUCUCUCAUUGUCUAGCUAACUUUCUCUUAAUGUGCAUUUUCUUAAAAUUAAAACUUCCAUUAAAAACCUUCAAAAGCAUAUUUGCA